GACGAACGCUGGCGGCGUGCUUAACACAUGCAAGUCGAACGAAGAGCGAUGGAAGCUUGCUUCUAUCAAUCUUAGUGGCGAACGGGUGAGUAACGCGUAAUCAACCUGCCCUUCAGAGGGGGACAACAGUUGGAAACGACUGCUAAUACCGCAUACGAUCUGACCUCGGCAUCGAGGAUAGAUGAAAGGUGGCCUCUAUUUAUAAGCUAUCACUGAAGGAGGGGAUUGCGUCUGAUUAGCUAGUUGGAGGGGUAACGGCCCACCAAGGCGAUGAUCAGUAGCCGGUCUGAGAGGAUGAACGGCCACAUUGGGACUGAGACACGGCCCAGACUCCUACGGGAGGCAGCAGUGGGGAAUCUUCCGAAAUGGACGAAAGUCUGACGGAGCAACGCCGCGUGAGUGAUGACGGCCUUCGGGUUGUAAAGCUCUGUUAAUCGGGACGAAAGGCCUUCUUGCGAAUAGUUAGAAGGAUUGACGGUACCGGAAUAGAAAGCCACGGCUAACUACGUG
This 510-nucleotide ribosomal RNA is filed under the name uncultured bacterium. RNAcentral describes it as "partial 16S ribosomal RNA". It matches the Rfam family "Bacterial small subunit ribosomal RNA", at positions 28 to 507 of the family's 1533-position model. The record is from RNAcentral.